This 393-nucleotide ribosomal RNA is filed under the name Acanthamoeba sp. RNAcentral's name for it is "SSU rRNA". It matches the Rfam family "Eukaryotic small subunit ribosomal RNA", at positions 787 to 1095 of the family's 1831-position model. The record is from RNAcentral. Lineage: Eukaryota; Discosea; Longamoebia; Acanthamoebidae. RNAcentral also lists the same sequence under 1 other name.
UUCUGCCACCGAAUACAUUAGCAUGGGAUAAUGGAAUAGGACCCUGUCCUCCUCUUUUCAGUUGGUUAAUUUACGUGUGAGGAUCAGGGUAAUGAUUAAUAGGGAUAGUUGGGGGCAUUAAUAUUUAAUUGUCAGAGGUGAAAUUCUUGGAUUUAUGAAAGAUUAACUUCUGCGAAAGCAUCUGCCAAGGAUGUUUUCAUUAAUCAAGAACGAAAGUUAGGGGAUCGAAGACGAUCAGAUACCGUCGUAGUCUUAACCAUAAACGAUGCCGACCAGCGAUUAGGAGACGUUGAAUACAAAACACCACUUUAUAUAAUUCAGUAUAUGGUCAGCAAUGGCUGUAUAUUGUUUGUAUAAAGUCCAGGUGAAUGACUCCCCUAGCAGCUUGUGAGA